CUAAAAGUAGCCAAUUGCAGGGAGGAUUGAAAAAAAGGGCACUCUGAUAGGACAAAAAUGGAACAUGGGAGGGGCCAAUACGUGAAUAAAAGCUGGCCACCCCAGCCAGCAGCAGCAACCUGCUGGUGUCCCCUUCUAUGCUGUGGAAGCUUUGUCCUUUUGCUCUUCACAAUAAACCUUGCUACCGCUCACUCGUUGGGUCCAUGCUAUCUUUAAGAUCUGUAACACGGCAAAGGUCCGUGACUCCAUUCUUGAAGUCAGCAAGACCACGAACCCACCAAACCCACCGGCAGGAACCAACUCUGGACAUAAUACCACAUGGCAAUCUCUGUUCUAAGCAUUGAUGUGUACAGGUUAUUUACUCCUCAUAAGAACACUGAAAGAUAAUUGCUACUUACUGGCUCCUUCUUAAGGUGAGUAAGCUAGAGACAGAUACUCAUGAUUUGCUCAAGACUUCAGAACUUGUCUGUGGCAGAGCAGAGAUGAGAAUUAAAUUUGCUAGCCACCAUUUCUUGGAAUUUAAACACAUUGGUAUGCCACCUCUUAGUAUAUGUAAUUAAUGACAUGCAGUUCACAGAAUUAUGUUAUUUAAAUUAUAUUGGACAGAAAUAAAAAAGUACGGUUGACGAACAACAUGAGCUUGAGCUGUGUGCAUCCCCUUAUAUAGAGAUUCUUUUAAUUAAAAAAAUCAGCAUCUGCAUUGAAAUGUGGAUCAAAAUACAGUAGCCACAGGAUGAAAAACCCGCAGAUAUGGAGGACUGACUUUUUGUGUACUCUGGUUCCACAGGAUUACUUGAAUAUGUGCUGAUUUUGGUAUCCUCUGGGGUCCUGGACCCAAUCUUUUGAGGAUAUCAAGGGACCACUGUAUUUUUAUUUAAAAUGACAAGAGUAGAGAAUAUAUGCAGAUAUAUCCCGAGGAACAUCUUUCAGAUUUUACUGAGAAAUGAGGACCUUAUCUGGACUUCACUGGGAGAAUUAUGAGUGGCCAGAGAUACUACAUUUUGAGCUGGAUGCCAGACCUUGAAAGAACUCUGCAUUUUUCAUUUUGAGAGAAGUCGGUGUGUUUUAUAAUGGGAGGAAGAUUAAAGCAGGUAUUUUGGCAUCAGAAGGACUGACCUUGACAGAGAUUGGUGAGAUAACAUUAUUUCCUUCUUUGGACCACAAGGAAAUGCUGUAUUUUUCAGCCUCAAUUGCAGGUCCUGAGAAGAGGAUUAGAAAAAGGCAACACAUCAAAAAGUUAAGAGGCAGAAAUAGCUUUUAUGUUGCUGGUAAAUUUAAUGAGAUCUUAAGUUUUUCGACUGGCAAGUCUCAUCUCUUUGAGCAUCUCAGUGAAGACUGUCAGAAAUCAUCAAAAUUCAACACAACAGAGUAAAAGCUAAUAGCAUUUUUGUUAUACCAAAACUGAAAGGAUUGGUAAGACUCAAAAUGAAUGCUAUUACUGAAAAUCUUCUUUUAUCUAAUUCUUUGUGCAGUGAGUGAAAAUUGAACAAAUACAUAUCCUUUUUAUGGUGUUAAAAUGAAUUCUGACACUAUUAAACAAAUAUUCUUUGGUCCUAAGACCUCCUCAAUACUUCUUUCACAAGCAGUAUUAUUAGAAUAUCCUAUGUGACUCUAGUUCAAAAUAUUCUGGCUAUCAUUUGAUUAUUUUCUGUGAAAUAAAAAUUCAGCACUCCAUUUUUUAAAAAAUACUGUGUUUUGAUGAAGAAGGAAGUUUUUGAGUGGUUAUCACAUUAGAGAAAUUUUUAUUGUAAUCAACCUUUGAUAAUUU
RNAcentral lists this long non-coding RNA (1768 nucleotides) under Homo sapiens (human). RNAcentral's name for it is "HSALNT0352508". Lineage: Eukaryota; Metazoa; Chordata; Mammalia; Primates; Hominidae. The record is from RNAcentral.